GUGUGCGUGUGUGUGUGUGUGUGUGAGACAGAGAGAGACAAAAUGAAAAAAGAGUGAGAGAGACAAAGCUUUAGAGAUCCUUUUGACAGCCUUUUUGCCUCAAAGAAUGGAUAAUCCUUUGACCAAACAAGAAAAUGGAUAGAUGACAUGAAAUACUUUUGGAAAGCUGGCAUGCCCAGUGUUAUCUGUUCCAGUUUGGAUUAUCUGUCAGGAUUCACCGCUCUUCUCUCUGCUUUGUGGAUUAUAUUACUGGACUGUCACUUCACUGAUCGGUUACUGACCUGUGGAUUACUUACCCCGUCGCUGCAGUCAUCAUCACAUCGCCAUUCAGCACCCGGGUGUUCCAUGCUGUGUCUCACCAUCUCCUCGUCUGUUUCCCACACCAUCAUAGCCUACUGCAACCAGUGCUGUGGAUUUAUUUAUUUUCAUUGCCAUAUCUGCUCUGUGUGUUAAUAAAGACUAAUCAUUGUACUCCCUCUGUUUUUGGGAUCUUCCUCAAAACAAACCAUGACAGAACAAUUAUGGCCCCAGCCAAACAUGGACCCAGCAGAGGAAGCAUCACUCCACAUGGCAGUAUCACAACAGGGGGUGCUAAAGGGUCGUCAACAAGAACAGCGGAUAGCUGAAAUUGCUCACUCUCACCAGUAGGAAAGGGGUUACUGGUGAGUGUUACUCCUUAAGGAUAAAUCCCCUGGAAAGAGAACUCUCCUUCCGGCCUCUUAUAUGGUAUGGCGACACCCGUUACUCCAUCUCUGCCCUUGUGGACUCUGAAGCAGAGGGUAACUUCAUGGACGCUAAACUGGUUGCUCAGUGAUCCAUUCCCCAAUCUCCUCUGGAUGAACCCAUCACUGCCAGCAUGCUCUGUGAUACCCCUCUCACCAUAGUAACCCAUAUCACUGCUUCUCUUCAGCUUACCAUAUCUGGCAAUCACAUGGAGGAGAUCCGGUUUUAUGUUAUCCACUCUCCCUCUGCUCCAGUGGUUUUGGGACACCCAUGGCUGUUCAGUCACGUUCUGUGUUGUAGGAGGAGUCGGUGGAGCUGACCAGAGUACCUGAAGUCUACCACGACUUGAGGGCAGUGUUCAGUAGGUCCCGGGCUGCUUCUAUUCUUCCACACCGCCCGUACGAAUGUGCCAUCGACCUCCUUCCUGGCCUUUCUCCACCUCUGGGAUGCUUUUAUUCACUCUCUGAUCCAGAGAGGGAGUCCAUGGAGAAAUACAUCAGCUAGUCUCUGGCGGCAGGUAUUAUUCAACCUUUUUCCUCUCCGGCUGAGGUGGGGUUCUUCUUCGUGGGGAAAAAAGACGGCUCUUUGUGUCCCUGCAUAGAUUAUCGGGGGCUGAAUGACAUCACGGUUAAGAAUCGUUACCCUUUGCCAUUGAUGUAUCCUGCCUUCGAACUCUUGCAGUGAGCUUCUUUCUUCACGAAGUUGGACCUUCGCUUUGCUUACCACCUGGUCUGGAUCCGGGAGGGGGAUGAAUGGAAGACGGCCUUUAACACCCCUACUGGGCAUUUAGAAUACUUGGUCAUGCCCUUUUCCAACUGCCCGGCCGUCUUCCAGGCACUUGUCAAUGACGUGCUGCGUGACAUGGUCUGCCAAUUUUUACCGGUGGUUCAUUCGGAAUUUCAGUAAGAUCUCUAAAGGAUACCUUUAUUCCGCCCAGUAGGGUGGUUGCCAUGAUAUCCUGGGGAAUAAAGUCCAAAGUCCGGCUGGAUCUGCACGACAUUACUAUUCCAGAGAACCUGCUAUUUGUUCCUGGGUCGGUCCGAAUUCACGUCCUCCGGUGGGGUCAUUCACCUAACCCUAGUUAAGCAGCAGUUCUGGUGGCCCUCGUUGGUGCGGGACAUUCGUAAAUUCGUCUCGGCCUGUCCAGUUUGCGCUACUGGCAAGUCUUCCAGUCGACCUCCUGCGGGGCUUCUUCCAUUGACAUGAAUUUCAUCACUGGAUUACCCCCAUUAAAUGGCAAUACAGUUAUUUUAAAUGUAGUAGACUGGUUCUCAAAGUUUAGGCUACCAGCCCCCAUUAUUCCCCUCCCAAGAACCCGACACUGUUGUUCACUGUGCUAUCUGAACUGUGUUUUUGUGACUGUUUUUUUGCUUGUGUAUUAUUGUGUUACUAUUGUAAAGUGUCCUUGAGCUCUGGAAAGGCGCUAUAUAAAUUAAACAUUAUUAUUAUUAUUUAUUUGUUCCUUCCGUGAACAUGUUUAUCCAAAGGUGUCGAUGCACCUGGAAGAUCGCCAGAGAAGCCCUUCUCCAGACUGGUAAUCAGAACAAAGUGUCGGUUGACCAUAACCGUUCUAAGCCCCUGGUUUACGUUUGCGGACAGAAGGUCUGAUUGUCCUCCCAGGACAUCCCUCUCCGACUUCCCUCACAUAAAGUGGGACCCAAAUUUAUCGGACCAUUUACCAUCUCCAAGGUGCUUAGACCGGUGACAGUUCGACUCAAAUCUUUUCAUUGCCAUAUCUGCUCUGUGUAUUAAUAAACACUCUAAUCAUUGUACUCCCUCUAAGUUUGGGUUCUUUCUCAAAACAAACCAUGACAGAUACAGACAUUGCCUGUCAGUUAACUCGAUAAUGUGAAUGCACAGUAGCUGAACCAGCCUGAGAAACAGUGUUUUUUUAAACGUGAUUUGAGCUAAAGAAACACAAUUUGUGAUACCACUGUUGUCA
Myxocyprinus asiaticus (Chinese sucker) is the source of this 2665-nucleotide long non-coding RNA. RefSeq lists it as uncharacterized. The record is from RefSeq and is a predicted model, not a curated record. The transcript is spliced from 3 exons. NCBI's taxonomy places the organism in Eukaryota, Metazoa, Chordata, Actinopteri, Cypriniformes, Catostomidae.